UACGUAGGUGGCGAGCGUUAUCCGGAAUUACUGGGUGUAAAGGGUGUGUAGGCGGGAUUGCAAGUCGGAUGUGAAAUGCCAAGGCUCAACCUUGGAGCUGCAUUCGAAACUGUGAUUCUUGAGAGUGGGAGAGGUAAGCGGAAUUCCCGGUGUAGCGGUGAAAUGCGUAGAGAUCGGGAGGAACACCAGUGGCGAAGGCGACUACCUGGACCAGCACUGACACUGAGGCACGAAAGCGUGGGGAGCAAACAGG
RNAcentral lists this ribosomal RNA (253 nucleotides) under uncultured bacterium. RNAcentral's name for it is "partial 16S ribosomal RNA". It matches the Rfam family "Bacterial small subunit ribosomal RNA", at positions 524 to 776 of the family's 1533-position model. The record is from RNAcentral.